CCUACGGGCGGCUGCAGUGGGGAAUAUUGGACAAUGGGGGGAACCCUGAUCCAGCCAUGCCGCGUGUGUGAAGAAGGCCCUCGGGUUGUAAAGCACUUUCAGUGAGGAAGAACGCCUGGUGGUUAAUACCCAUCAGGAAAGACAUCACUCACAGAAGAAGCACCGGCUAACUCCGUGCCAGCAGCCGCGGUAAUACGGAGGGUGCGAGCGUUAAUCGGAAUUACUGGGCGUAAAGCGCGCGUAGGUGGCUUGAUAAGCCGGUUGUGAAAGCCCCGGGCUCAACCUGGGAACGGCAUCCGGAACUGUCAAGCUAGAGUGCAGGAGAGGAAGGUAGAAUUCCCGGUGUAGCGGUGAAAUGCGUAGAGAUCGGGAGGAAUACCAGUGGCGAAGGCGGCCUUCUGGACUGACACUGACACUGAGGUGCGAAAGCGUGGGUAGCAAACAGGAUUAGAUACCCUUGUAGUC
Molecule: ribosomal RNA, 465 nt
Filed under: Vreelandella stevensii
Lineage: Bacteria; Pseudomonadati; Pseudomonadota; Gammaproteobacteria; Oceanospirillales; Halomonadaceae
Description: partial 16S ribosomal RNA
Rfam family: Bacterial small subunit ribosomal RNA
Source: RNAcentral